GUUGGAGCCGGGCUUGCCCGCGAUGACUGACUGACAUUCAACACAUCUGUCGGCAGUUACAUCGCUAUCGCGGGCAAGCCCGGCUCCCAC
This 90-nucleotide unclassified non-coding RNA is filed under the name Pseudomonas cedrina. Lineage: Bacteria; Pseudomonadati; Pseudomonadota; Gammaproteobacteria; Pseudomonadales; Pseudomonadaceae. The record is from RNAcentral.